RNAcentral lists this transfer RNA (92 nucleotides) under Bacillota bacterium. Its description in RNAcentral is "tRNA-Ser". It matches the Rfam family "tRNA". Rfam says of the family: Transfer RNA (tRNA) molecules are approximately 80 nucleotides in length. Their secondary structure includes four short double-helical elements and three loops (D, anti-codon, and T loops). Lineage: Bacteria; Bacillati; Bacillota. The record is from RNAcentral.
GGAGGGAUGGCAGAGUCCGGUUGAAUGCGGCGGUCUUGAAAACCGUUAGGGGCGUAAGUCCCUCGGGGGUUCGAAUCCCUCUCCCUCCGCCA